CACGUAGUUAGCCGUCCCUUUCUGGUAAGAUACCGUCACAGUGUGAACUUUCCACUCUCACACUCGUUCUUCUCUUACAACAGAGCUUUACGAUCCGAAAACCUUCUUCACUCACGCGGCGUUGCUCGGUCAGACUUCCGUCCAUUGCCGAAGAUUCCCUGCUGCUGCCUCCCGUAGGAGUCUGGGCCGUGUCUCAGUCCCAGUGUGGCCGAUCACCCUCUCAGGUCGGCUAUGUAUCGUCGCCUUGGUGAGCCGUUACCCCACCAACUAGCUAAUACAACGCAGGUCCAAUCUGGUAGUGAUGCAAUUGCACCUUUUAAGCAAAUGUCAUGCAACAUCUACUCUUAUGCGGUAUAGCUAUCGUUUCCAAUACGUUAUCCCCCGCUACCAGGCAAGGUUACCUACGCGUUACUCGACCCCGUUCGACAACUUCACUCCAGAGAAGCAAGCCUCCUUCCUUCAGCGUUACUACUUGCAUGUAUAGGCACGCCGCCAGCUUCG
Molecule: ribosomal RNA, 501 nt
Filed under: uncultured Streptococcus sp.
Lineage: Bacteria; Bacillati; Bacillota; Bacilli; Lactobacillales; Streptococcaceae
Description: partial 16S ribosomal RNA
Source: RNAcentral